UUGAAGAGGUGACUGACAGCGAUUUACCAAUGGAACCGCUGCAUCACCCUGUUAGAUCGCCACCCGGCGCUGAAGUGGCAGCUGCGAGUGCUUCAAGUGGCGGAGCGCAGAUCUGUCCGGUGUCGGCGGUAGGAUAAGCAGGGAGUGGAGAUAAGCCAGAGGCUUCAGAAAACUCCAUGGAGCAGAUUGAUUCAAAGACGCCUGGGUGUACACGAAGAGUCAGGAUCGGAGCUGCUGUGCCAAGUCGUGCCCCAUGCCCAGGUAGGAUCACAACAUUGGAGAAAUCAGUCCGCGCCUUUGCCGAGGCCCCUGGGGAGAAUGUCAUUGUACCGAAAUUAGGGGUCACUUUUGAUACCUGUAUUCAUGGGAGAAAGGAUUUGGAAUUCGAUGUGGGAAGAGUAGGCUAAAUGUCAAUCGGACAAAAUGCAUGCAGGAGAUAGGGUGUGGUUGUGCGGCAAAGCCAAUAGUGGAGAAUACUUCAUCCUGCCGGUGUGAACGUCCUGCUCUCUUAACUGAAAUUCGGGAUGUGGGGGCUGGUAGCGCCUGUCCUUCAUUGGCACGGACAAGUGUUCAGCGUCUUGUGGUGAUACUUGUUGAGCCGCGACAUCACAACUGCCUGAGUCGGACAUGAUUACAGCCUGUAGAUAAUGUUGUCAGUGCUUAAGCAAUGUAGUAUCACAUAGCGUGCGGUCCCUAUGUCCAGUGAUAUCAGACAUGCAAAAUGCUAUGCUUGAUGUGUACGUAGGC
Long non-coding RNA from Triticum dicoccoides, 747 nucleotides. RefSeq lists it as uncharacterized. The transcript has 3 exons. The record is from RefSeq and is a predicted model, not a curated record. NCBI's taxonomy places the organism in Eukaryota, Viridiplantae, Streptophyta, Magnoliopsida, Poales, Poaceae.